GAGAAUCCCCGUAUGUGACUGGUUUGCCACGCCCGUGUGAAGCUCCUUCGACGAGUCGAGUUUGUUUGGGAAUGCAGCUCAAAAUGGGUGGUAAAUUUCAUCUAAAGCUAAAUAUUGGCCAGAGACCGAUAGCGCACAAGUAGAGUGAUCGAAAGAUGAAAAGCACUUUGGAAAGAGAGUCAAACAGUACGUGAAAUUGUUGAAAGGGAAGCGCUUGCAACCAGACUUGCCCGCGGGUGAUCAGCCGGUAUUUUUACCGGUGCACUCGCCCGUGGUCAGGCCAGCAUCGGUUUGGGUGGCUGGAUAAAGUCCACUGGAAUGUAGCUCCUCUCGGGGAGUGUUAUAGCCAGAGGUGCCAUGCAGCCCGCCCGGACCGAGGACCGCGCUUCGGCUAGGAUGCUGGCGUAAUGGUUGUAAGCGACCCGUCUUGAAACACGGACCAAGGAGUCUAACAUCUAUGCGAGUGUUUGGGUGUCAAACCCAUGCGCGUAAUGAAAGUGAACGGAGGUGGGAACCCUCAAGGGUGCACCAUCGACCGAUCCUGAUGUCUUCGGAUGGAUUUGAGUAAGAGCAUAGCUGUUGGGACCCGAAAGAUGGUGAACUAUGCCUGAAUAGGGUGAAGCCAGAGGAAACUUGGGGGCUCGCAGCGGUUCUGACGUGCAAAUCGAUCGUCAAAUUUG
RNAcentral lists this ribosomal RNA (680 nucleotides) under Acarospora strigata. RNAcentral describes it as "partial large subunit ribosomal RNA". It matches the Rfam family "Eukaryotic large subunit ribosomal RNA", at positions 214 to 913 of the family's 3401-position model. The record is from RNAcentral. Lineage: Eukaryota; Fungi; Ascomycota; Lecanoromycetes; Acarosporales; Acarosporaceae.